Molecule: ribosomal RNA, 375 nt
Filed under: uncultured bacterium
Lineage: Bacteria
Description: bacterial SSU rRNA
Rfam family: Bacterial small subunit ribosomal RNA
Source: RNAcentral
UAAUACGUAGGCAGCGAGCGUUGUUCGGAGUUACUGGGCGUAAAGGGUGUGUAGGCGGUUUUCUAAGUCUGGUGUGAAAUCUCCCGGCUCAACUGGGAGGGUGCGCCGAAAACUGGAAGGCUAGAGUGCGGGAUGGGUAAGUGGAAUUCCUGGUGUAGCGGUGAAAUGCGUAGAUAUCAGGAGGAACACCUGUGGUGUAGACGGCUUACUGGACCGCAACUGACGCUGAAACACGAAAGCGUGGGUAGCAAACAGGAUUAGAUACCCUGGUAGUCCACGCCCUAAACGAUGCAUAUUUGGUGUGGGCCAUUCAUUUGGUCUGUGCCGGAGCUAACGCGUUAAAUAUGCCGCCUGGGGAGUACGGUCGCAAGGCUG